UACGGAGGGGGCGAGCGUUAUUCGGAAUUAUUGGGCGUAAAGGGCGCGUAGGCGGCUUCAUAAGUCAAAGGUGAAAUCCCUCGGCUCAACUGAGGAACUGCCUUUGAAACUGUGGAGCUUGAGGCCGGGAGGGGGUAGCGGAAUUCCCAGUGUAGCGGUGAAAUGCGUAGAUAUUGGGAGGAACACCAGUGGCGAAGGCGGCUACCUGGCACAUAACUGACGCUGAUACGCGAAAGCGUGGGGAGCGAACCGG
This 253-nucleotide ribosomal RNA is filed under the name uncultured bacterium. RNAcentral's name for it is "partial 16S ribosomal RNA". It matches the Rfam family "Bacterial small subunit ribosomal RNA", at positions 524 to 776 of the family's 1533-position model. The record is from RNAcentral.